Non-coding RNA from Vicia faba (fava bean), 294 nucleotides. NCBI's taxonomy places the organism in Eukaryota, Viridiplantae, Streptophyta, Magnoliopsida, Fabales, Fabaceae. The record is from the annotation of a GenBank genome assembly.
AUGUUUGAUUCUUGUUGUUUUCGUGCAAACUUUGGCUCUGUUAUAGGACUAGUACAAAACUGGUUUUAUUUAUUUAUGGGCAGUCGGUUUUACAGGUUGGUGACUGACUUUUUGGAGAUUUUGGCACAGGGUAUUAUGUUUUGUUUUGUGCAGGUUUGGACAGCAAGUACAAUAAGUCUUUGGGCUAUUGUUUUGACAGUUUGUGGGGUCCAUUUUGCAGUAAUUGUGUUUGGAUGUGCAGCAUGGCAAAGUGGACAUAGCAGUAAGGCAAGCAAGGAGAAGCUACAAGUUUAA